Molecule: ribosomal RNA, 253 nt
Filed under: uncultured bacterium
Lineage: Bacteria
Description: partial 16S ribosomal RNA
Rfam family: Bacterial small subunit ribosomal RNA
Source: RNAcentral
UACGAAGGGAGCUAGCGUUGUUCGGAAUUACUGGGCGUAAAGCGCACGUAGGCGGAUAUUUAAGUCAGGGGUGAAAUCCCAGAGCUCAACUCUGGAACUGCCUUUGAUACUGGGUAUCUUGAGUAUGGAAGAGGUGAGUGGAAUUCCGAGUGUAGAGGUGAAAUUCGUAGAUAUUCGGAGGAACACCAGUGGCGAAGGCGGCUCACUGGUCCAUUACUGACGCUGAGGUGCGAAAGCGUGGGGAGCAAACAGG